Panthera uncia (snow leopard) is the source of this 2958-nucleotide long non-coding RNA. RefSeq lists it as uncharacterized. The transcript has 3 exons. The record is from RefSeq and is a predicted model, not a curated record. NCBI's taxonomy places the organism in Eukaryota, Metazoa, Chordata, Mammalia, Carnivora, Felidae.
ACAAGCUUUCUGCCCAUGGUUUUAGCAUCUACUGAUGAUCCAGGACUGGCACCCUUUUCGUUAAUUCUAGAAAAGGGACAUUUACUGAACAUGCGUGUAUUUAAUAAAUAUCUACUAGGAACAGUGGCAGGGCUGGGAACUGGGCAGGCAGGGAGACAGCGGCUGCCCUUAUUGACCAUCUAAUCUCCUCCCACAGCAUGACCCCAGGAUCUCUGUGUCAACUAUGGCUCCUCCUGAACCAUGGAUCACAGGAACUGCCUCAACAUUGCUGUGGGUGCUUCUUUGAAGGCACGAUUUCUUUUCUCGCAUUGGACAUAUCAUGGUUCGGCUGUACUGUGUCCUGUCCUGUCCUGGAGGGAAAGUUUCAGUCUUGGCGCAGGAAGACAGACAAGUACUCUUCAUCCUUUUGUAAAUCCUGUGACCCAGAUGCUUCGGACUUUGCCUCUUUCCUUGUUCAGAUUAUGAGGAGUUUUCAGCUGCUUGGGGACAGACAGCAUCCACUUCAAAGACUUUGCGGUGCUGUCGAGAAACACGAAGUUCAGGACCAUCCUCUGUGUGGAAUAAGAAAUUUACUCAAGAACGUGUUUACAAAAUAAGCUUUAACCUCGUCUUAUUGAUAGUUUUACCUCCCUACGCCUUUCAGAUCAGAACUGGUGCUUUCUACCUCUUUCCGGAUCACUGUGCCAACUGAAACAAAGAAUCAGAAUUGCCCUAAAGAUGUGAAAUAUUUUCAAGAUUUGGCAAAUGAAUAACAUUUGGAUGCAAUUUCUAUUUUAGGGAGCUCCGACUGAACAAAACGUGUAUUUUACAUCGUUGCCCAAACUACUUCUCUAGAAUGAAAAAAACAAACAAACAAAAAACUCAAUGAGCUGAAUUGACCGAAGAAUUUGAAGGGCCCAAAUCACGAAGUCACACAGCUUCUCGCUUUUGAAGUAUUAGAGGAAAUGUGGAAUGUUAGUUGUUACCAGAACACGAGAUACAAUGAAACAGAAUUUCAGCCGUCAAAUCCAUCUGACUUGGGUCCUCUGAGAAGCAGAAACCAAGACGGGAUUAAUGUGCAGGCAUUUCGAUGGGGGAAGCCCCUGUGAGAAAAGAGGCAGCAGCACCCUGGGGAGGCUGCGGUUCAGACCCCAAGUGAAGGAGAGAGGGGCGGGAGUUUGGGUGGCGGUAUCCUGACUGCUAUCCAGUCAAGGGAAAGUACCACAAGGCCUCAGGGAAGUCUUUAAGUAAAAGUAAAAAGGUAAAAAAGUCCUUACAUAAAAGUAAAAGAGAGGAGUCCCAUGUCCCCCAGGAAGGACCUGCCUUAGUAUCCCUUCAGGCUCAGUCACUGCCUGGGAACAGCCUUGACACAUCCAUAGCAAUGGACUUCAGAGCACGGCCUGGGGCCUGUGACCAAGUGAGCACCUGUAGGCGAAGACCCGAGGGUCAUAUUCUCAUGCCACCACAGCAUAAGCCAGAUAAACCCUCAGCUUGGAAAAGGAUGAUUUUUUUUAAAUAUUAGUAUGAUAGGAGAGAAAAAAAUAGUUUUCUCCCUACCCUUCUAAGUUCUUGGCCCAGACUCCAGUAAGAAGACAGAUUAACAAGAGAAAAAGAAAUAUAAGUUUAUUAAUAUGUAUACCUUGUGUACACAUGGGAGAGGCCCAGGGAAAAAGAGUAACUCCCAAGGCAGUUUAGAAUUGCCUUAAAUACCAUCUUAAUAGGGAAAGGGGGGUGGCGUCUGGGUGGCUCAAUCAGCUCCGACUUCGGCUCAGGUCAUGAUCCCACAAUUCGUGAGUUCGAGCCCUGCGUCAGGCUCUGUGCUGACAGCCUGGAGCCUGGAGCCUGCUUUGGAUUCUGUGUCUCCCUCUCUCCCUCUCUGCCCCUCCCUCAUUCAUGCUCUCUCUGUCUCUCAAAAAUAAACAUUAAAAAAAUUUUUUUAAUUUAAAAAAAAUAGAGAAAGGGGCGCGCGGAUGUAGGUCUUGCAGGGGAGAGUGGGUACCUGAUAUUUAGGAAAGAUGAAUGGGCCCUGAGAAGAACAGAAGGGAAGUGUGAGAGUCUGUGACCAAGUUUGGACGUGGUGUUGACUUUGAGUUUCCUCUGCAAUGAGAAGAGUCCAUCCUUCCUAUGAUCCCACUACACAGGUGAAGAAAUCAAAGGGCAAAGACUUGUCAAGUGCACAUCAAAUCAGCAGCCAGAUCUGGCUACGCUAAGCUCUUCCAGGGGAACGCCUGUGAGAAAACUAACCCCUUUGGAUGCCACUGGAUCUUUCCACCAAGAUACCCUUCAGGCCCCUGCAGUGACGUGUCUCCCACUUGCGUUAUUGGCCUGGACAAGAACAAAGAGACCCCUGUGAGUAGGCUGUGUGUUCCUACUGAACCGUACUUUUUCCACAGUAGGAGUUUCUGAUGGGGGCUGACCUGGACUGGGAGCUUCUCGAACUCCAGAUGCCCACUGAAUACGUUCACAUGGAUCUAUGAAGAAAGCCAACACAUUCGGUUUCUUGGAGCGUCGAAAUUCGUAAGCGUCUCCUAUUCAACUCUUUUCUUUGUAAGAAUCCCUUGGUACCUGGCCAACACCUUAAUCACAGCCUUGUGGGACCGUGGGCAGAAAAUCCAACCACAUCACACCAGACUUUUGACCUACAGAUCCGUGAGCUAAUGACUGUCAUUGAGGCAGAUGAGUUGGCGGUAACCUGUCGCGCGGCAACAGAAGACUAAUACACAUCCCUUUAGGCAGUGAGGAGAGGUGCAAAGAGAAUUAUUUCAUGAUUAAAAUAAUUUCCCCUUAGGGGCAAGUGGGUGGCUCAUUUGGUUAAGCGUCCAACUUCAGCUUGGGUCACGAUCUGGCGGUUCGUGAGUUCGAGCCCCACAUCAGGCUCUGUGCUGACAGCUCAGAGCUUCCAAUGCUGUGUCUCCCUGUCUCUCUCUGCCCCUCCCUGCUCAUGCCCUGUCUUGGUCUGUCUGAAAAAUAAAUAAACAU